This 321-nucleotide ribosomal RNA is filed under the name uncultured eukaryote. RNAcentral's name for it is "partial 18S ribosomal RNA". It matches the Rfam family "Eukaryotic small subunit ribosomal RNA", at positions 1470 to 1796 of the family's 1831-position model. The record is from RNAcentral.
CCCUUAGAUGUCCUGGGCCGCACGCGCGCUACACUGACAUGUUCAACAAGCCUCCUAGUUCGACAGGAUUUGGGAAAUCUUUGAACGCAUGUCGUGAUAGGGAUAGAUCAUUGCAAUUAUUGAUCUUGAACGAGGAAUUCCUAGUAAACGCGAGUCAUCAGCUCGCAUUGAUUACGUCCCUGCCCUUUGUACACACCGCCCGUCGCACCUACCGAUUGAAUGUUUCGGUGAAGAUUCCGGAUAGGACUUUUUUGAUUUAUUUCGAUUUUGUCUUAAAAGCUAUCUAAACCUCAACAUUUAGAGGAAGGUGAAGUCGUAACA